AGCAACAACACAACAAGAUAGCACUAAAACUAGAGAAUAAAAAGGAGCACAAACACCAAAAACGCAGCUGCUGUUCGGGAAUGAAGAACAGAAGAUACAGGCCACCAAAUCCACCUCCGUCAAUUCCUAAUCAAAUAUUGAGAUGAGAGGAACAAGAUGUUCAAAAAUAAGCUCAAUCGGACAAGAAAUGAAGCGGGAAUCACAAUUUGAAGUUGACAGCUGUGGCUAAAAAUUUG
This 236-nucleotide long non-coding RNA is filed under the name Capsicum annuum. Its description in RNAcentral is "long non-coding RNA (CANN_LNC021640)". Lineage: Eukaryota; Viridiplantae; Streptophyta; Magnoliopsida; Solanales; Solanaceae. The record is from RNAcentral.